Molecule: ribosomal RNA, 196 nt
Filed under: uncultured bacterium
Lineage: Bacteria
Description: partial 16S ribosomal RNA
Rfam family: Bacterial small subunit ribosomal RNA
Source: RNAcentral
ACGCUCGACCCUACGGAGGCAGCAGUGGGGAAUAUUGCACAAUGGGGGAAACCCUGAUGCAGCGAUGCCGCGUGAAGGAAGAAGUAUCUCGGUAUGUAAACUUCUAUCAGCAGGGAAGAAAAUGACGGUACCUGACUAAGAAGCCCCGGCUAACUACGUGCCAGCAGCCGAGGUAAUCUGAGCGGGCUGGCAAGGC